RNAcentral lists this microRNA precursor (279 nucleotides) under Medicago truncatula (barrel medic). RNAcentral's name for it is "MIR2655 microRNA precursor family". It matches the Rfam family "MIR2655 microRNA precursor family". The record is from Rfam by way of RNAcentral. Lineage: Eukaryota; Viridiplantae; Streptophyta; Magnoliopsida; Fabales; Fabaceae.
CCCUUAACUAUUAAAAGUUUCGUUUUGGUCCUUUAACUUACUUUUUGGUUUCGUUUUGGUCCCUUAACUCUUCCUCCGUCAACUACUUUGGUCCUUUAUGUUAGGAUGAAUGUAUUAGAGUUAAGGGACCAAAAUGAAACCAAAAAAUAAGUUAAGGGACCAAAACGAAACCAAAAAAUAAGUUAAGGGACCAAAACGAAACUUUUAAUAGUUAAGGGACCAAAAGAAAACCCAAAAAUAAGUUAUGGGACCGAAACGAAACUUUUAAUAGUUAAGGAA